ACAUAUCGUCGCUGUCCGAUGAAAACCGCGUAUGUCCAUUUUUGCCGAUUUUGAGAUUUUACGAUGAUAGUUAUGUCCAGGUUCAUUUCCGUAUACAGUAUGCGUCAUGAACCUAAUUGACCAAUGAAAAGUUGUGAAACACGUCAUCUGAUUUUCAAGUAUAUCCAUUUGGUGUCAAAGCUGUCAGUCCCGCCGCGUAUCUCCCGCCCUGUGGAGUCAUCUCAUUAGCGUCUCUGGAAGCGCAUCAUCGGGUAGCCGAAUAACACUUUGAAGAUUCAGUUGAAAGUGACGGUGCAAAUACAGCUGCCAAUGAGGAUUCUCUGGAAAGUGAUAAUGACAAUCACUCUGAAAGUGCCAGUGAUGACUCACUUGAACACGAUCCUGAAAAUGACCCGGAAUACACACCUGUCAAUGAAGAUGCUGUUGAUGUUGAUGUUGCUGUUGACCGGGGAAGGUCAAGAAAGAGGGCCAACCCAGACGCUUGGAAGGGUAACAUUCAGAAAAGGAGAAGAAUGAGGGGCCAAUCAUAUCUUGGACGAAAAAAAAAUGAAUUCAUCAACAUAGAAGAAAGAAAAAUGGAGGGGCGGUGCCUGGCUGAGGCCUGCCGGAAAUCCAGCAAACUACACUGCACCGAAAUCGAUGAAGGGAAGAGGGAAAAAAUAUUCAAGUAUUUUUGGGGGAAAUUGGACUGGAAAGAAAGGAAAAUCUAUGUGAAGUCACUGGUGGAGGUGAGUGAUGUCAAGCGGCGCCGGACAGAAGCGGUUCAGUCUCGGAGGUCAGCAUCUCUCUGUUGUUUUUUAUGUGUUGAUGGUAAAAGGCUCAGAGUUUGUCAGCGGAUGUUCCUGUCGACCCUUGGCAUCAAGCAGUGGAGUGUUCUAAAAUGGGUUGGAAGAAGAGAUGAAAGUCCUGAGAAGACGGCAAGAGUGAGGGUGAGGACAGAGGAGCGGGACUUCCUAAAGUCCUUUCUUCUUGAACUGCCGAAAGUACCAUCGCACUACUGUAGGUCCUCCUCUUCCAAGAUGUACCUGGAGCCUUUAUUCAAAUCAAUCAAUCAUCUCCACUCACAAUAUAAGCAGGCAUGUGCAGCCAACGGCAUCCAGGCUCUGUCAAGACAAGUGUUCAGUAACACCUUUAAAGAAUUAAAUCUGUCAUUGUUCCAUCCAAAAAAAGAUCAGUGUGACACUUGCUGUGCCUUCAAAGCCGGGAACAUCGAGGCUGCUGUGUGGGAGGAACACUGCGUUAAGAAGGACGAGGCACGAGCAGAAAAGGAUAGGGACAAGCAACUUGCAAAUAACACCACCUUGGUUGCAUGCAUGGAUCUGCAGGGCCUUCUCCUCUGCCCAAAGCUUCAAGCGUCUGCCCUCUAUUUCAAAAUGAAGCUGAGUGUCCAUAAUUUUACCAUCUACAAUAUGGCAUCACAUGAAGCGACAAAUUACCUUUGGCAUGAGGGUGAGGGGGGGGUCUCUGCCAAUGAGUUUGCCUCCUGCAUUGUGGACUAUCUUGAAACACACCUCACUUACACUGAAUUCAUUCUUUGGAGUGAUGGGUGUGGUUAUCAAAACCGAAACCUGGUCCUGAGCAAUGCCCUCUUAAAGUUUGCCACUGAAAG
This is a long non-coding RNA of Gadus morhua (Atlantic cod), 1609 nucleotides long. Lineage: Eukaryota; Metazoa; Chordata; Actinopteri; Gadiformes; Gadidae. The record is from Ensembl.